GAUGAACGCUGGCGGCGUGCCUAAUACAUGCAAGUAGAACGAUGAGGGGGGAGGUUGCUUCCCCGGAUGAGUGCCGAACGGGUGAGUAUAGCGUAGGGAACAUGCCUGGUAGCGGGGGAGAACAAUUGGAAACGAUAGCGAAUACAGCAUAAUAGAAGAUGAUGCAUAAGAUUUGAUAAAAAGAUACAAUUUUGUCACUACUAGAUGGACCUGCGCCGUAUUAGCUAGUUGUUGAGGUAACGGCUUACUAAGGCAACGACGCGUAGCCGACUUGAGAGGGUGAUGGGCCACCUUGGAACUGAGACCCGGCCCAGACCCCUACGGGAGGCAGCAGUAGGGAACUUUCGGCAUAGGGCGAAAUCUUGACGGAGAAACGCCGCGUGGGGGAGGAAGGUUUCCGGACCGUAAAACUCUGUUAUUAGGGAAGACCAGUUGUGGAAUUAACUAUGCACGCCGUGACGGUACCUAACCAGAAAGCGACGGCUAACUACGUG
This 494-nucleotide ribosomal RNA is filed under the name uncultured bacterium. RNAcentral describes it as "partial 16S ribosomal RNA". It matches the Rfam family "Bacterial small subunit ribosomal RNA", at positions 28 to 507 of the family's 1533-position model. The record is from RNAcentral.